Molecule: ribosomal RNA, 206 nt
Filed under: uncultured bacterium
Lineage: Bacteria
Description: partial 16S ribosomal RNA
Rfam family: Bacterial small subunit ribosomal RNA
Source: RNAcentral
UGCGUAGGUGGUUUCUUAAGUCAGGAGUGAAAGGCUACGGCUCAACCGUAGUAAGCUCUUGAAACUGGGAAACUUGAGUGCAGGAGAGGAAAGUGGAAUUCCUAGUGUAGCGGUGAAAUACGUAGAUAUUAGGAGGAACACCAGUAGCGAAGGCGGCUUUCUGGACUGUAACUGACACUGAGGCACGAAAGCGUGGGGAGCAAACA